Molecule: ribosomal RNA, 468 nt
Filed under: uncultured bacterium
Lineage: Bacteria
Description: partial 16S ribosomal RNA
Rfam family: Bacterial small subunit ribosomal RNA
Source: RNAcentral
GACGAACGCUGGCGGCGUGCUUAACACAUGCAAGUCGAACGGAAAGGCCCUGCUCUUGUGGGGUGCUCGAGUGGCGAACGGGUGAGUAACACGUGAGUAACCUGCCCUUGACUUUGGGAUAACUUCAGGAAACUGGGGCUAAUACCGGAUAGGAGCUCCUGCUGCAUGGUGGGGGUUGGAAAGUUUCGGCGGCUGGGGAUGGACUCGCGGCUUAUCAGCUUGUUUGGGGGGUAGUGGCUUACCAAGGCCUUGACGGGUAGCCGGCCUGAGAGGGUGACCGGCCACAUUGGGACUGCGAGACGGACCAGACUCGUACGGGGGGCAGCAGUGGGGAGUAUUGCACAAUGGGCGGAAGCCUGAUGCAGCAACGCCGCGUGCGGGAUGACGGCCUUCGGGUUGUAAACCGCUUUCGCCUGUGACGAAGCGUGAGUGACGGUACUGGAUGAAGAAGCACCGGCUAACUACGUG